AUUGAACGCUGGCGGAAUGCUUUACACAUGCAAGUCGAACGGCAGCACGGGGGCAACCCUGGUGGCGAGUGGCGAACGGGUGAGUAAUACAUCGGAACGUGCCCAGUCGUGGGGGAUAACGUAGCGAAAGUUACGCUAAUACCGCAUACGAUCUACGGAUGAAAGCGGGGGACCGUAAGGCCUCGCGCGAUUGGAGCGGCCGAUGUCAGAUUAGGUAGGUGGUGAGGUAAAGGCUCACCAAGCCGACGAUCUGUAGCUGGUCUGAGAGAACGACCAGCCACACUGGGACUGAGAACCGGCCCAGACUCCUACGGGAGGCGGCAGUGGGGAAUUUUGGAAAAUGGGCGCAAGCCUGAUCCAGCCAUUCCGCGUGCAGGACGAAGUCCUUCGGGUUGUAAACUGCCUUUGUACGGAACGAAAAGGCUCUGGUUAAUACCUGGGGCUCAUGACGGUACCGUAAGAAUAAGCACCGGCUAACUACGUGCCAGCAGCCGCCGUAA
RNAcentral lists this ribosomal RNA (500 nucleotides) under uncultured bacterium. Its description in RNAcentral is "partial 16S ribosomal RNA". It matches the Rfam family "Bacterial small subunit ribosomal RNA", at positions 30 to 523 of the family's 1533-position model. The record is from RNAcentral.